This 449-nucleotide ribosomal RNA is filed under the name uncultured bacterium. RNAcentral's name for it is "partial 16S ribosomal RNA". It matches the Rfam family "Bacterial small subunit ribosomal RNA", at positions 29 to 523 of the family's 1533-position model. The record is from RNAcentral.
AACGAACGCUGGCGGCAUGCCUAACACAUGCAAGUCGAACGAAGCCUUCGGGCUUAGUGGCGCACGGGUGCGUAACGCGUGGGAAUCUGCCCUUGGGUUCGGAAUAACAGUUAGAAAUGACUGCUAAUACCGGAUGAUGUCCUCGGACCAAAGAUUUAUCGCCCAAGGAUGAGCCCGCGUAGGAUUAGGUAGUUGGUGGGGUAAUGGCCCACCAAGCCGACGAUCCUUAGCUGGUCUGAGAGGAUGAUCAGCCACACUGGGACUGAGACACGGCCCAGACUCCUACGGGAGGCAGCAGUGGGGAAUAUUGGACAAUGGGCGAAAGCCUGAUCCAGCAAUGCCGCGUGAGUGAUGAAGGCCUUAGGGUUGUAAAGCUCUUUUACCAGGGAUGAUAAUGACAGUACCUGGAGAAUAAGCUCCGGCUAACUCCGUGCCAGCAGCCGCAGUAA